UACAAAAUUAGCCAGGUGUGUUGGCACAUGCCUGUAAUUCCAGCUACUCGGGAGGCUGAGGCAAGAGAAUUGCUUGAAUCCGGGAGGCGGAGGUUGCAGUGAGCUGAGAUUGCACCAUUGCACUCCAGCCUGGGCAACAAGAGCGAAACUCUAUCUCAAAAAAAAAAAAAAAAAAGAAAAAGAAAAAACCAAUAGACUGGAAAACACAGGCCUUCUGCCUUUCUUCCCGUUCCCUCUCUGACCUGCAGGUUAACAAAGAAUGCGUCCGAGGACUUUGGGCCGGGCAGCAGCAGGAGCUUAUAUUUCUUCGCAACCGCAAUCCGGAGCGCGGCAGUAUCCAGAACAAUAAGCAGGUCCUGCGGAACUUGAUUAACUCCUCCUGCGAUCAGCCCCUGGGGUACCCCAUGUAUGUCUCCCCACUAACCACAUCCUACCUAGGGACACACAGGCAGCUGAAGAACAUCUGGGGUGGACCCAUCACUUUGGACAGAAUUAGGACCUGGUUCUGGACCAAGUGGGUAAGGAUGCGGAAGGAUUGCAAUGCCCGCCAGCACAGUGGCGGCAACAUUGAAGACGUGGACGGAGGAGGGGCCCCGACGACAGGUGGCAACAAUGCCCCGAGUGGUGGCAGCCAGGAGA
This 639-nucleotide long non-coding RNA is filed under the name Homo sapiens (human). Its description in RNAcentral is "non-protein coding lnc-SIPA1L2-10:1". The record is from RNAcentral. Lineage: Eukaryota; Metazoa; Chordata; Mammalia; Primates; Hominidae.